GUGGGGGGGGGUGCUUUACCAUGCAAGUCGAACGAUGAUGCCCAGCUUGCUGGGUGGAUUAGUGGCGAACGGGUGAGUAACACGUGAGUAACCUGCCCUUGACUUCGGGAUAACUCCGGGAAACCGGGGCUAAUACCGGAUAUGAGCCGCCCUCGCAUGGGGGUGGUUGGAAAGUUUUUCGGUCAGGGAUGGGCUCGCGGCCUAUCAGCUUGUUGGUGGGGUGAUGGCCUACCAAGGCGACGACGGGUAGCCGGCCUGAGAGGGCGACCGGCCACACUGGGACUGAGACACGGCCCAGACUCCUACGGGAGGCAGCAGUGGGGAAUAUUGCACAAUGGGCGAAAGCCUGAUGCAGCGACGCCGCGUGAGGGAUGAAGGCCUUCGGGUUGUAAACCUCUUUCAGCAGGGAAGAAGCGCAAGUGACGGUACCUGCAGAAGAAGCGCCGGCUAACUACGUGCCAGCAGCCGCGGUAAUACGUAGGGCGCAAGCGUUGUCCGGAAUUAUUGGGCGUAAAGAGCUCGUAGGCGGUUUGUCGCGUCUGGUGUGAAAACUCGAGGCUCAACCUCGAGCUUGCAUCGGGUACGGGCAGACUAGAGUGCGGUAGGGGAGACUGGAAUUCCUGGUGUAGCGGUGGAAUGCGCAGAUAUCAGGAGGAACACCGAUGGCGAAGGCAGGUCUCUGGGCCGCAACUGACGCUGAGGAGCGAAAGCAUGGGGAGCGAACAGGAUUAGAUACCCUGGUAGUCCAUGCCGUAAACGUUGGGCACUAGGUGUGGGGCUCAUUCCACGAGUUCCGUGCCGCAGCAAACGCAUUAAGUGCCCCGCCUGGGGAGUACGGCCGCAAGGCUAAAACUCAAGGAAUUGACGGGGGCCCGCACAAGCGGCGGAGCAUGCGGAUUACUUCGAUGCAACGCGAAGAACCUUACCAAGGCUUGACAUGCACGAGAAGCCACCAGAGAUGGUGG
This 965-nucleotide ribosomal RNA is filed under the name Cellulosimicrobium funkei. RNAcentral describes it as "bacterial SSU rRNA". It matches the Rfam family "Bacterial small subunit ribosomal RNA", at positions 35 to 1012 of the family's 1533-position model. The record is from RNAcentral. Lineage: Bacteria; Bacillati; Actinomycetota; Actinomycetes; Micrococcales; Promicromonosporaceae.